GGUUAAGCGACUAAGCGUACACGGUGGAUGCCCUGGCAGUCAGAGGCGAUGAAGGACGUGCUAAUCUGCGAUAAGCGUCGGUAAGGUGAUAUGAACCGUUAUAACCGGCGAUUUCCGAAUGGGGAAACCCAGUGUGUUUCGACACACUAUCAUUAACUGAAUCCAUAGGUUAAUGAGGCGAACCGGGGGAACUGAAACAUCUAAGUACCCCGAGGAAAAGAAAUCAACCGAGAUUCCCCCAGUAGCGGCGAGCGAACGGGGAGCAGCCCAGAGCCUGAAUCAGUGUGUGUGUUAGUGGAAGCGUCUGGAAAGGCGCGCGAUACAGGGUGACAGCCCCGUACACAAAAAUGCACAUACUGUGAGCUCGAUGAGUAGGGCGGGACACGUGGUAUCCUGUCUGAAUAUGGGGGGACCAUCCUCCAAGGCUAAAUACUCCUGACUGACCGAUAGUGAACCAGUACCGUGAGGGAAAGGCGAAAAGAACCCCGGCGAGGGGAGUGAAAAAGAACCUGAAACCGUGUACGUACAAGCAGUGGGAGCCUCUUUAUGGGGUGACUGCGUACCUUUUGUAUAAUGGGUCAGCGACUUAUAUUCUGUAGCAAGGUUAACCGAAUAGGGGAGCCGAAGGGAAACCGAGUCUUAACUGGGCGUUAAGUUGCAGGGUAUAGACCCGAAACCCGGUGAUCUAGCCAUGGGCAGGUUGAAGGUUGGGUAACACUAACUGGAGGACCGAACCGACUAAUGUUGAAAAAUUAGCGGAUGACUUGUGGCUGGGGGUGAAAGGCCAAUCAAACCGGGAGAUAGCUGGUUCUCCCCGAAAGCUAUUUAGGUAGCGCCUCGUGAAUUCAUCUCCGGGGGUAGAGCACUGUUUCGGCAAGGGGGUCAUCCCGACUUACCAACCCGAUGCAAACUGCGAAUACCGGAGAAUGUUAUCACGGGAGACACACGGCGGGUGCUAACGUCCGUCGUGAAGAGGGAAACAACCCAGACCGCCAGCUAAGGUCCCAAAGUCAUGGUUAAGUGGGAAACGAUGUGGGAAGGCCCAGACAGCCAGGAUGUUGGCUUAGAAGCAGCCAUCAUUUAAAGAAAGCGUAAUAGCUCACUGGUCGAGUCGGCCUGCGCGGAAGAUGUAACGGGGCUAAACCAUGCACCGAAGCUGCGGCAGCGACACUAUGUGUUGUUGGGUAGGGGAGCGUUCUGUAAGCCUGUGAAGGUGUGCUGUGAGGUAUGCUGGAGGUAUCAGAAGUGCGAAUGCUGACAUAAGUAACGAUAAAGCGGGUGAAAAGCCCGCUCGCCGGAAGACCAAGGGUUCCUGUCCAACGUUAAUCGGGGCAGGGUGAGUCGACCCCUAAGGCGAGGCCGAAAGGCGUAGUCGAUGGGAAACAGGUUAAUAUUCCUGUACUUGGUGUUACUGCGAAGGGGGGACGGAGAAGGCUAUGUUGGCCGGGCGACGGUUGUCCCGGUUUAAGCGUGUAGGCUGGUUUUCCAGGCAAAUCCGGAAAAUCAAGGCUGAGGCGUGAUGACGAGGCACUACGGUGCUGAAGUAACAAAUGCCCUGCUUCCAGGAAAAGCCUCUAAGCAUCAGGUAACAUCAAAUCGUACCCCAAACCGACACAGGUGGUCAGGUAGAGAAUACCAAGGCGCUUGAGAGAACUCGGGUGAAGGAACUAGGCAAAAUGGUGCCGUAACUUCGGGAGAAGGCACGCUGAUAUGUAGGUGAAGUCCCUUGCGGAUGGAGCUGAAAUCAGUCGAAGAUACCAGCUGGCUGCAACUGUUUAUUAAAAACACAGCACUGUGCAAACACGAAAGUGGACGUAUACGGUGUGACGCCUGCCCGGUGCCGGAAGGUUAAUUGAUGGGGUUAGCGGUAACGCGAAGCUCUUGAUCGAAGCCCCGGUAAACGGCGGCCGUAACUAUAACGGUCCUAAGGUAGCGAAAUUCCUUGUCGGGUAAGUUCCGACCUGCACGAAUGGCGUAAUGAUGGCCAGGCUGUCUCCACCCGAGACUCAGUGAAAUUGAACUCGCUGUGAAGAUGCAGUGUACCCGCGGCAAGACGGAAAGACCCCGUGAACCUUUACUAUAGCUUGACACUGAACAUUGAGCCUUGAUGUGUAGGAUAGGUGGGAGGCUUUGAAGUGUGGACGCCAGUCUGCAUGGAGCCGACCUUGAAAUACCACCCUUUAAUGUUUGAUGUUCUAACGUUGGCCCCUGAUCGGGGUUGCGGACAGUGUCUGGUGGGUAGUUUGACUGGGGCGGUCUCCUCCUAAAGAGUAACGGAGGAGCACGAAGGUUGGCUAAUCCUGGUCGGACAUCAGGAGGUUAGUGCAAUGGCAUAAGCCAGCUUGACUGCGAGCGUGACGGCGCGAGCAGGUGCGAAAGCAGGUCAUAGUGAUCCGGUGGUUCUGAAUGGAAGGGCCAUCGCUCAACGGAUAAAAGGUACUCCGGGGAUAACAGGCUGAUACCGCCCAAGAGUUCAUAUCGACGGCGGUGUUUGGCACCUCGAUGUCGGCUCAUCACAUCCUGGGGCUGAAGUAGGUCCCAAGGGUAUGGCUGUUCGCCAUUUAAAGUGGUACGCGAGCUGGGUUUAGAACGUCGUGAGACAGUUCGGUCCCUAUCUGCCGUGGGCGCUGGAGAACUGAGGGGGGCUGCUCCUAGUACGAGAGGACCGGAGUGGACGCAUCACUGGUGUUCGGGUUGUCAUGCCAAUGGCACUGCCCGGUAGCUAAAUGCGGAAGAGAUAAGUGCUGAAAGCAUCUAAGCACGAAACUUGCCCCGAGAUGAGUUCUCCCUGACCCUUUAAGGGUCCUGAAGGAACGUUGAAGACGACGACGUUGAUAGGCCGGGUGUGUAAGCGCAGCGAUGCGUUGAGCUAACCGGUACUAAUGAACCGUGAGGCUUAACCUU
RNAcentral lists this ribosomal RNA (2904 nucleotides) under Escherichia coli. RNAcentral describes it as "23S ribosomal RNA". It matches the Rfam family "Bacterial large subunit ribosomal RNA". The record is from RNAcentral. RNAcentral also lists the same sequence under 1 other name. Lineage: Bacteria; Pseudomonadati; Pseudomonadota; Gammaproteobacteria; Enterobacterales; Enterobacteriaceae.